Hyposmocoma kahamanoa is the source of this 439-nucleotide long non-coding RNA. RefSeq lists it as uncharacterized. NCBI's taxonomy places the organism in Eukaryota, Metazoa, Arthropoda, Insecta, Lepidoptera, Cosmopterigidae. The record is from RefSeq and is a predicted model, not a curated record. The transcript is spliced from 3 exons.
AGCCCGUUUAAAAGUUUGGAUAAAUAAUUGCGGUAACAUGACCAUAAUGAAUUACAAUGAAAAUAUACUCCGUAACAGAUACCUCUGUAGUGAGCAUUUCGACAAAAAAUAUAUCCAAAAUGAAAGUGGACAAAGAAAGAGGCUGUCGAAAUUUGCAAUACCUUUGCACUAUAAAGAUGAUGAAUGUAGCAGCAGGUCACAUUCACCAGUUCCAUCAACAUCAAAAGUGCAAACUUCGUCACCUCUGAAAGUAAUGACUCCUAAAAAGUUAUAUAGCAACAAAAUGGUAAAAGAAAGGCUUCAACCCAAGUCACCUAGUGAAACCACAGUAGAUUUUAGUACACCUAGAAGAAGAAAAAGGACUUCAGUUGAUAAUGAUACACCAAGGUGUAAAAAAUUAAAAAUUAGUAUAAAAAAUUCAAGUAAAUUAUUAAAAAAA